This 467-nucleotide ribosomal RNA is filed under the name uncultured bacterium. RNAcentral describes it as "partial 16S ribosomal RNA". It matches the Rfam family "Bacterial small subunit ribosomal RNA", at positions 28 to 507 of the family's 1533-position model. The record is from RNAcentral.
GACGAACGCUGGCGGCGUGCUUAACACAUGCAAGUCGAACGGAAAGGCCUCUUUCGGGGGGUACUCGCGUGGCGAACGGGUGAGUAACACGUGAGUAACCUGCCCUUGACUUUGGGAUAACUUCAGUAAACUGGGGCUAAUACCGGAUAGGAGCUCCUGCUGCAUGGUGGGGGUUGGAAAGUUUCGGCGGUUGGGGAUGGACUCGCGGCUUAUCCGCUUGUUGGUGGGGUAGUGGCUUACCAAGGCUUUGACGGGUAGCCGGCCUGAGAGGGUGACCGGCCACAUUGGGACUGAGAUACGGCCCAGACUCCUACGGGAGGCAGCAGUGGGGAAGAUUGCACAAUGGGUGGAAGCCGGAUGCAGCAACGCCGUGGGCGGGAGGACGGCCUUAGGGUUGUAAACCGCUUUCGCUCAUGACGAAGCUUUGUGUGACGGUAGUGGGUAAAGAAGCACCGGCUAACUACGUG